AUGAGGGAAUCUAAUAUACAAUGUUACUUUCUGCACUGAUGAAGUGGGCCGCAAAUAAUCGGCUUAGCUGCUUGAAAGAAUAAAAGGAGUUUGGUUGGAGGCUCGAGUAUUAGUAUUGAGCUAUCUUUCAUAAGGUGGAAGGAAAUGCUCGAUCAAGAAUACCAUUUGUAGCUCUAUGGAGGAGCAUGAGAGUCUUAAAACUCUCCAGCAAUCAAUAGGAUUGGUUAUCCCAUUGUAUGGCUCUAGUUGGGACAUUUUAAACUGAUUUGAGAUUGGCUCAUCCAUGAUUCUCUUGUUGAAAGAUAGAUCCAUGUCGAAACCAACCUCACCAUUCUAUGUUGGGUUGAUCUGCAAUACUUCGUUUUGCCUUUUCAUCUCCUAUAGUCGAUGUAUGUUGGCAUCUUCGGCAAUAUAGUAUUCUGAGUGUCGGGGUAGAGAACAUAUUGAUGUGGAGAAUUGUAAGAAUCUAGCCCUAAUUUUUAUUACAUUCUUUUGCACAAAUCUUAAAGCCAAGAAAAAGAAGAACCCAAAGAAGAGAGUCCAGAUUAGACUCUAUUUUUUUUUCUCUUGUGUAUAAUGAGAUCAAGGAUAGAGUCCUAAUCUGAGCCAAAUAGGGCCAAUAAAUCCUAAGAAAUAUCCUUUAUAAGAGGACAACCACCUCUCCAUUGAACUCCAUCAUGAUUUCCUGAGGAAUCGUCACCAAGGGCCAUAGAUCUCUUGAGUUUUUCCUUUCAAGAUUUCUUAGUUUUAUUGAGAAAAGACCACCAGAUCCCUCUCCAUUGGCCUCACUGGGCCUAGGUAGCUUCCUCCCCUUCCUUCUCUUUCUUUUUUCGGGCUUCUCAUUGCCGACGCAGGGUAUGGGGCCGGCAAGCUGCUAAUUUUACUUUUAAAUAGGGCAGUCCCUAUUUUAGAUUUGGGAAUCCACCAACCUCCAUUAGCAAGGCUUGUCAUUGAGGGUAUAGUCUCACUACUAUAUGGAGCCGUUGUAGGUGGCCGGCCCUAGUUUCCACCAUCAUCGUGGUUGGGAAGAAAAAAAAAUAAAGGGAAAAGAACUCCUUAUUUUGGAGAAGAAGAAAAGAUGAGAGGAGAGGGUUUCUCUCUCUUCUCUAAUUAUUUGAUUAUCAAUUAAUUAAUUAAUUAGUUCAUUAAUUAUUUUUUUUCUCUCUCUUGUAUAGAUUAAGAAAAUUUUAGAUGGAAAAUUUUGGAGACUUGUUUAGUUUCUCUUAGAUGAACCAAGGGAUUCACGAGGAAAAUAAUCCAAGAAUUUGUCAAUGGACCUAAUGAACCCUGGUAGAGGGUUCUAGACAAAUAAUGACUAUACUAUAAAUUUUAUUUUAAUAUUAAUUUUGGAUCUAUAGGAGAAUAAUUUCUUGAACAAAAGGAUAUCAAGCAAGAUCCUUGACAUUUAGAUCGUAAAUCUUGUGAGUUUAGUUUAACGACAAUAGAGGUAAGAAUUUUUGAACAUUGAUCAUCUAUUUAUAUAAAAAUUAUUUUGUACAUCAGUGAUUUUGAUUCAUGUGUUUUUUAUAGUGACAUGUCAUACUUAAUUGUUAAGUAUAUAUCUAUGACUUGUAUGAUGUUAUAUAUUACAUAUCACUGAUCUUGAUUUGGAUGAAUUUUGAUAAUCAUAUACAUCAAGCUUUCACAAAAAAGAUGUGAUCUGAAAUUUCAAUACCUAAUAAGCUAGUCAUUGAAUACUAUGACUAUAUGUGGGGUUGUGGUACUUUGGGCUAGCCACGUUGUUGAUGCCCUGGCAUAGGCUAGAGAUAUGAUUGUGGUAUUCUACAGGACUAGCCACGAUAUUAAUACCUUGCCAUGGAAUGUAAACAUAGCUAUGAUAUUUCAGAGUUAAACACCUAUGGUCCCCUAGACUAGCCACUAUUAGUGCCUUACCAUAGACUAUAAACAUGGUUGUGAUAGUUGAGGCUUGAGCACUUAUGAUCCCCUGGACUAGCCAUAGUAUUGGUGCCCCACCAUGGAUAAAAAAUAUGGUUUUGAUAGUCUACAGGACUAGCAAUGAUAUUGGUGCCUCAUCACAGAUUGGAAAUAUGGUUGUGAUAAUCCAUAAGACUAGCCACGGUAUUAGUGCCUUGUCAUGGGUUGAAAUGUGGCUAUGGUAGUCUAGAGUCGAGCACCUUGAUAUGAUCAGAUCCAAUGUAUGUUAUCUUGAAAUAAUUAUAAAAUAUGAUUUAUUGCAUAAAAAGA
Molecule: long non-coding RNA, 2205 nt
Filed under: Elaeis guineensis (African oil palm)
Lineage: Eukaryota; Viridiplantae; Streptophyta; Magnoliopsida; Arecales; Arecaceae
Description: long non-coding RNA (EGUI_LNC023328)
Source: RNAcentral